RNAcentral lists this long non-coding RNA (901 nucleotides) under Scleropages formosus (Asian bonytongue). Its description in RNAcentral is "lncRNA (ENSSFOG00015029726.1)". Lineage: Eukaryota; Metazoa; Chordata; Actinopteri; Osteoglossiformes; Osteoglossidae. The record is from RNAcentral.
GCCGUGCUUCAUCAGGCAAUAUGAUGGACACCUGUGAAAGUGCGAGGACCCGCCGCCGUGCAGCGCGGCAAUAAAGCAGUCCGCGUGCCGCUCCCAGCUUCCUUUGCGAUGUGCACUGCGAUGUGGUUGCAGUACAGAGACUUGCAUGAAGAAUGGCUUGACUGGACCCCUGGUACUUUAUUUAAUGACUUUCAUGGAGACUGGCUGAACUGGACCUAGGUACCCAGCUGUACUGACGUGUGGACCAAGCUGUUGUGAUGUCAUUGCUACAUGGUAAGUAUUGAAACCAGACUGUAAAACUUGACUUGAUGAUUCACUCUAUGAAAGUGAACAAGUACAGGGAAAUUAUUGCUUGACUGGUCCACUAUAUGGAGUGCCCAUGAUGAUUGCGUUUUUAUUCGGUUCAUCUGAUCUAAACUGAAGUUUUACUCGCAGCGCACUGAGGCCAUCCAGAGUUGACCUGUAUUCAGGUAGCAGGAAUGAAAAUGAGCUUUAGUGUGCAGGACUGAUUUUGAACAAUGGUUGCAUAAUCUUCAUUGGGCUGCUCCACAGAUUCACCUGUACAUGUAACUUGUUUUUGGAGUGCAGAAAUUGAAUCCUGUUGCCAAGACUGAAGAAGGACUGAAGAAGUUAGACUCGCAGGUAAUAUUAUGAAGCCCCAGCUAUCAACGAAGGAUUAUACUGUAUUGGAAUGACCUAUUAAUGUUAAUGCAAUACAGUAAUGUUUAGUACUAUACAUUGCAGGAGUUUAAUUUAUACACUUGUUUCUAAAGGUGAAGCUCUGACAUUAAGUAUAAAGGCUGAACUUGUUUAUUAAAUCACUAUUUCCUAUACUCAAAAUUUGUCUUUUUUGAUGUCAACUUGACACAUGAAGUCUUGUCAUCAGUACUUCAGCCUCAUU